CAGAAAGGAAAAAAAAAUCAUUCACAAAUUGGUGAUUGCUGUGUAUACAACACGCUCACAUUAAUCGAAGCUUUCGUGCCGCGGGUAGUCGUGAGUGUAUAAACAAUUUUUAAAUAUUUUCUGUCGUAUAUCUGCUGUAUUGUGUCAAAUCUAAUAAGAUCAUUGCUGGUAUAACUGUUUGCUGAUAACAAUGCAAUCGGAUAAAUAAAAUUUUAUGCACAAAAUUACGUAACACUUAACGUUGAACAGUGAUUACAACAACAAUCACUAAUUUAUAUGCAUAGAAAGCUAUAAGUGAUUAAAGCAGACGUCGAGAAACAGUGAUGGAC
Bradysia coprophila is the source of this 329-nucleotide long non-coding RNA. Lineage: Eukaryota; Metazoa; Arthropoda; Insecta; Diptera; Sciaridae. The record is from RefSeq and is a predicted model, not a curated record.